RNAcentral lists this ribosomal RNA (902 nucleotides) under Mammaliicoccus lentus. Its description in RNAcentral is "bacterial SSU rRNA". It matches the Rfam family "Bacterial small subunit ribosomal RNA", at positions 41 to 923 of the family's 1533-position model. The record is from RNAcentral. Lineage: Bacteria; Bacillati; Bacillota; Bacilli; Caryophanales; Staphylococcaceae.
CGCGUGCCUAAUACAUGCAAGUCGAGCGAACAGAUGAGAAGCUUGCUUCUCUGAUGUUAGCGGCGGACGGGUGAGUAACACGUGGGUAACCUACCUAUAAGACUGGGAUAACUCCGGGAAACCGGGGCUAAUACCGGAUAAUAUAUUGAACCGCAUGGUUCAAUGUUGAAAGACGGUUUCGGCUGUCACUUAUAGAUGGACCCGCGCCGUAUUAGCUAGUUGGUAAGGUAACGGCUUACCAAGGCAACGAUACGUAGCCGACCUGAGAGGGUGAUCGGCCACACUGGAACUGAGACACGGUCCAGACUCCUACGGGAGGCAGCAGUAGGGAAUCUUCCGCAAUGGGCGAAAGCCUGACGGAGCAACGCCGCGUGAGUGAUGAAGGUCUUAGGAUCGUAAAACUCUGUUGUUAGGGAAGAACAAAUUUGUUAGUAACUGAACAAGUCUUGACGGUACCUAACCAGAAAGCCACGGCUAACUACGUGCCAGCAGCCGCGGUAAUACGUAGGUGGCAAGCGUUAUCCGGAAUUAUUGGGCGUAAAGCGCGCGUAGGCGGUUUCUUAAGUCUGAUGUGAAAGCCCACGGCUCAACCGUGGAGGGUCAUUGGAAACUGGGGAACUUGAGUGCAGAAGAGGAGAGUGGAAUUCCAUGUGUAGCGGUGAAAUGCGCAGAGAUAUGGAGGAACACCAGUGGCGAAGGCGGCUCUCUGGUCUGUAACUGACGCUGAUGUGCGAAAGCGUGGGGAUCAAACAGGAUUAGAUACCCUGGUAGUCCACGCCGUAAACGAUGAGUGCUAAGUGUUAGGGGGUUUCCGCCCCUUAGUGCUGCAGCUAACGCAUUAAGCACUCCGCCUGGGGAGUACGACCGCAAGGUUGAAACUCAAAGGAAUUGACGGGGACCCG